This 252-nucleotide ribosomal RNA is filed under the name uncultured bacterium. Its description in RNAcentral is "partial 16S ribosomal RNA". It matches the Rfam family "Bacterial small subunit ribosomal RNA", at positions 524 to 776 of the family's 1533-position model. The record is from RNAcentral.
UACGGAGGAUGCGAGCGUCAUCCGGAUUUAUUGGGUUUAAAGGGUGCGUAGGCGGGCUUUUAAGUCAGCGGUAAAAAUUCGGGGCUCAACCCCGUCCGGCCGUUGAAACUGGGGGUCUUGAGUGGGCGAGAAGAAGGCGGAAUGCGUGGUGUAGCGGUGAAAUGCAUAGAUAUCACGCAGAACCCCGAUUGCGAAGGCAGCCUUCCGGCGCCCUACUGACGCUGAGGCACGAAAGUGCGGGGAUCGAACAGG